Long non-coding RNA from Bombus terrestris (buff-tailed bumblebee), 1622 nucleotides. RefSeq lists it as uncharacterized. The record is from RefSeq and is a predicted model, not a curated record. The transcript has 2 exons. NCBI's taxonomy places the organism in Eukaryota, Metazoa, Arthropoda, Insecta, Hymenoptera, Apidae.
UAAAGAAUUUAUACACACAAUUAUUUUUUCCUAGGCUUUCUAAUCUGUAUGUAGUAUACCUAUCUCUACGAAACCCGUUAAAUUGAUGGGCUAACUGUUUUCAUAAACAAACGGUUUUUCAAAGACAGUGUGCAGAAGUUUCAGUUAUUGUAGAUUAUUUCUCAUUAUUGUCUCCGCUUAUUGUUCAAUUAUGAUUAAAUCCAGGAGAUAUAAUAAGAUAUUGAACAAAAUUGUCAACAUCAAUGAAGAUUGUUCUGAGGAUACCUCCGAAGAAGAUCAGUAUGAACUAGGCCAAAGCGAAGCUGACAGUGAAAGUUCUGAAUACACUGAAAGUGGAGAGAUAAAAGGAUCUUCGGAUAGUGAAGAGGAAAACUUCUUGAAAGUGUGUCGUAACAAGAAAAUGAUGCGUAUUUUUUCUAGUUCUGACUCCGGGGAUGAAAGGACAAGCAUUCCAAGUACAUCCCAAAAUGUAAUGGGUGAAAUUGAAAUUGCAAUUGACGGGACACAGUGGAUAAAACUGAAAGCGGGCGGAUCUAGGGGUAGGACGCCCGUUCGUAUGAUAUUCAAUGAUAUCGCAGGGCCUACUGGCUAUGCUAAGAGAAAUAUUAUGUCGGGUUGUGUAACUAGUGCUUUCUAAUUGAUAAUUGACAGACAUAUAAUGGAAAACAGAUUCCACUGAUAAAAGAUUGCACUGAAACUGAGGCGCAUCGAGUUUUGAAAAAAGACGGACAAUCACAGUUGCUGAGUUACGUAGUUUUCUAGGAAUUCUAUAUGCCCGGGACGCAUAUGAAGCGCGAUCAUUGAAAGCCUCCGAAAGAUUACAAACAGAUAAAUUUGCGCUGAUAUCCGAAAUAUGGAACAGAUUUAUAAGUAAUAGCCAGACUUGUUACAAGCCAUAUGAAAAUAUUUCAAUAGAUGAAUAAUUAUUUCCAACGAAAGCUCGAUGCAGGUUUACGCAAUAUAUGUCGAAUAAGCCUCAUAAAUUUGGCAUUAAGUUUUAACCAAAACUUGAAGCAGUUGACGUCCAAACAAAAUAUAUUUUGGAUGGUAUUCCUUAUAUGGGGAAAGAUGAAACUCGAUGCUCAAGGGAACAAAGUAGAAGAUGACUUUGUUUUCCUCAAAUUUAUAUAAAUCAGAAUACUGCACGCUUACUGUGUGUAAAAGUAAACCUAGCGUAAAAGUCCUCUUUCUAAGCACCAAAUAUACAGGUAUGCAAGUAGGAGACAAUUAUAAAUGUGUUCCAGAAACCAUUGCUUUCUAUAAUAAAACAAAGUUUGGCGUGGACGUCGUUGACCAGAUGGCACGCAAAUAUAGUGUGAAAGCAGGGAGUUUCCGAUGGCCCCUUCAAAUAUUUUUUCAAUAUUUUAGAUUUGGCAGCGAUAAACGCGUGGAUAUUAUAUAAAGAGUGCACCGGAUCGAAAAUAUCCAGAAAGGAGUUCAUAUUUUGUCAAAGAUCAGACGCUUCAUUUCUGUCACUUUCAACGUCAGAAGUGCGAAAAAGUUGUCAAUAGAAGCAAUAAUUGUAUAUAUUGCAAAAAGAUCGUAUGCGGAAAAUGCACAAACAAAAUUCAGUAUAUUUGUAAAAAAUGUGCUCAAUAAAUAUGAUUACCCUAUAGCGUUAA